UCAAACUUGGUCAUUUAGAGGAAGUAAAAGUCGUAACAAGGUUUCCGUAGGUGAACCUGCGGAAGGAUCAUUAUUGAAUAAACUCGAUGGAUUGUUGCUGGCUUCUAGGAGCAUGUGCACGUUCAUCGUCUUUAUCUAUCCACCUGUGCAUUCUUUGUAGUCUUGGGGGUAAUGAACGUGAAAAUGUCGAGGUUCUUUUGCACCUCGGGAAGGGAGGCCUGCCACACGAGAGUUUGGCUGACCUUGUUCACGCAAGUUUCUCUGAGUCUAUGUCUUUCAUAUACUACAUACCGAAUGUCUUAGAAUGUUCUUUCUCUAGGCCUCAGUGCCUAUAAAACACAAUACAACUUUCAGCAACGGAUCUCUUGGCUCUCGCAUCGAUGAAGAACGCAGC
RNAcentral lists this unclassified non-coding RNA (394 nucleotides) under uncultured fungus. RNAcentral describes it as "partial contains small subunit ribosomal RNA, internal transcribed spacer 1, and 5.8S ribosomal RNA". The stretch from base 1 to 73 matches the Rfam family "Eukaryotic small subunit ribosomal RNA", at positions 1759 to 1831 of the family's 1831-position model. The record is from RNAcentral. Lineage: Eukaryota; Fungi.